CUGGAGUUGGCUCAUUAGCCCAAACGCACCACGACAGCCACGCACGGUGCCAGACGGGUGUCUGGUUUGGCGCGCGACCAGCCGAGCGCCCGAGCACCUCGUCUCCGUCCCUCGAUUCCCAAUUGAAUCGAUCCCCUUUCCCAACCUAGCGCUAGGGCUGGCUCCGGCGGCCGACCUCUCCUGCCUCUCCCUCGGCCCCUUCCCUCCAGUCGGCCGUCUCCCUCCCCUUCGGCGUCCAGUCCUCUCCUCCGUGGUUCCGUCAGGCGUCGGGCCGCCAAUCCGCCUCCGGCCUCCCCUGCUCCCCAGUGCGGCGGCAGUCGGCAGCUCCCUCCGGACACCGUCCUCGAGCCUCCCUGGCUCGGCGGCUCCCCGGCGUGGCGGCAGCGCCUUCAGCAGGCAGCAGACUAGCAGUCCGGCCUCCCUCCAUUCUGCAAUCUGCAUCCAUCCACACAAUGAAGAAGAAGGAUGUUAGCAUAUUUGAAAUGUGGGACAGAUCUUGAAAGACAAGCAAAGUAACUUCUACAUCCACACCAACUCUAUUGAGGUUGAGAGCAAUCUGCAGCUAGCACUAGUGCAAACACCCCGACCCCAAUUGUAGAAGACGAUGAAGCGGUUGAUGAAGAUGAUGAAUCAAUGCCCCAAUUUGAAGCAGAUUUGGCAGCUCUGAAACGUGAUCCUGGCAAGCGACUUCCCAUAUAUUUGUAUCAUGCCAAUGAUCAGGAUAGAGUUCGAAGAAGAUACAUUGACUUGGCUGCUUGUCAACCAAAGGAUCAUAAGUUUGAGAUCAGAGAUUUAGUGGACAUCCUUGUCCCUUUUGCCCUACUUGGUUUAAGGAUCAUAAGUGGCUUGAGGAUUACUCCCUCCGUCCUUUAAAGAGUGUACUUCCAACUUUCUUGGAAAGUCAAACUUUUUUAUA
This is a long non-coding RNA of Triticum aestivum (bread wheat), 916 nucleotides long. RefSeq lists it as uncharacterized. Lineage: Eukaryota; Viridiplantae; Streptophyta; Magnoliopsida; Poales; Poaceae. The record is from RefSeq and is a predicted model, not a curated record. The transcript is spliced from 2 exons.